This 389-nucleotide long non-coding RNA is filed under the name Ursus americanus (American black bear). Its description in RNAcentral is "lncRNA (ENSUAMG00000023612.1)". The record is from RNAcentral. Lineage: Eukaryota; Metazoa; Chordata; Mammalia; Carnivora; Ursidae.
CUCGGCUGUGUCUGGAGGUCUCUGAGAGCGGUCUGCGCAUUUCCGGACCCCAGACUGGACUCGUGCCAAGCCUCGUUGGAGCCCCACACUCCGCAGGGGGCUUAGCGCGGUGUACCCAGUGACAGCCUCGGCCUCGGUCCCUGAACUCCGCUGGCACGGCCCGACUUCCCGUGGCCGAGGAGGGACUGCUGAGGAAAGGCCCCCCUCCUGUCCGACCCUCCGUCACUCCUUCGGAUCCCACAUCGCAGCCAACGGUAGGCUCUGAGCUAUGAGGGCAAGGAAGGAAGGAUGUGAAAUGAUUGGUAUUUCAUGGAUCUACGGUGUCAGUCUUCAUCUGACAAACAUUUGUUGAGUGUCUGGGUCAGGCACUGGGGAAGCGACGGGUGGCA